GGGUCGGCCCGCCUACUGGAGUGAGGCAACUGCCUGUAAAGCAGCCGCUUAAAGCGUUGCUGGUUCGAGUCCAGCCCGACCUACCA
This 86-nucleotide transfer RNA is filed under the name Leptolyngbya sp. SIOISBB. Its description in RNAcentral is "tRNA-Tyr". It matches the Rfam family "tRNA". From Rfam's summary of the family: Transfer RNA (tRNA) molecules are approximately 80 nucleotides in length. Their secondary structure includes four short double-helical elements and three loops (D, anti-codon, and T loops). Further hydrogen bonds mediate the characteristic L-shaped molecular structure. tRNAs have two regions of fundamental functional importance: the anti-codon, which is responsible for specific mRNA codon recognition, and the 3' end, to which the tRNAs corresponding amino acid is attached (by aminoacyl-tRNA synthetases). tRNAs cope with the degeneracy of the genetic code in two manners: having more than one tRNA (with a specific anti-codon) for a particular amino acid; and 'wobble' base-pairing, i.e. permitting non-standard base-pairing at the 3rd anti-codon position. The record is from RNAcentral. Lineage: Bacteria; Bacillati; Cyanobacteriota; Cyanophyceae; Leptolyngbyales; Leptolyngbyaceae.